GAUGAACGCUGGCGGCGUGCUUAACACAUGCAAGUCGAACGGAAAGGCCCAAGCUUGCUUGGGUACUCGAGUGGCGAACGGGUGAGUAACACGUGGGUGAUCUGCCCUGCACUUCGGGAUAAGCCUGGGAAACUGGGUCUAAUACCGGAUAGGACGAUGGUUUGGAUGCCAUUGUGGAAAGUUUUUUCGGUGUGGGAUGAGCUCGCGGCCUAUCAGCUUGUUGGUGGGGUAAUGGCCUACCAGGGCGUCGACGGGUAGCCGGCCUGAGAGGGUGUACGGCCACAUUGGGACUGAGAUACGGCCCAGACUCCUACGGGAGGCAGCAGUGGGGAAUAUUGCACAAUGGGCGCAAGCCUGAUGCAGCGACGCCGCGUGGGGGAUGACGGCCUUCGGGUUGUAAACUCCUUUCGCUAGGGACGAAGCGUUUUGUGACGGUACCUGGAGAAGAAGCACCGGCUAACUACGUG
RNAcentral lists this ribosomal RNA (467 nucleotides) under uncultured bacterium. Its description in RNAcentral is "partial 16S ribosomal RNA". It matches the Rfam family "Bacterial small subunit ribosomal RNA", at positions 28 to 507 of the family's 1533-position model. The record is from RNAcentral.